GUCCGUUCAUGCUCUGGGGCCGGUACCUGAGGGUGUGCUGUGGCAAAUUUCAGAAUGUGCUGCUGCUACUGUUCACGAUGCAGGUGCUCUUGAUUUGCCUGGAAGGAUCUGGAGGUGAAUUCUUCCCACCUGAGAACCAUGAGCAGUCGACAGAGCUGUUUGGGCUGACAGAAUACCAGUUCACAGGAAUCAAGCCUGAAUCCAUCACACACAAAUAAAGCAGGCACCAUCAGAGGAGGCCUCAAAUCUCACUGCUGC
Eptesicus fuscus (big brown bat) is the source of this 258-nucleotide long non-coding RNA. RefSeq lists it as uncharacterized. The record is from RefSeq and is a predicted model, not a curated record. NCBI's taxonomy places the organism in Eukaryota, Metazoa, Chordata, Mammalia, Chiroptera, Vespertilionidae. The transcript has 3 exons.